UACGGAGGGGGCGAGCGUUGUCCGAAGUUACUGGGCGUAAAGGGUGCGCAGGCGGUCGGGUGUGUCAGAUGUGAAAUCCCGAGGCUCAACCUCGGAACUGCGUCUGAAACUACUCGACUAGAGUACUGGAGAGGGUAACGGAAUUCACGGUGUAGCAGUGAAAUGCGUAGAUAUCGUGAGGAACACCAGAGGCGAAGGCGGUUACCUGGACAGUUACUGACGCUCAGGCGCGAAAGCAUGGGGAGCAAAAGGG
Molecule: ribosomal RNA, 253 nt
Filed under: uncultured prokaryote
Description: partial 16S ribosomal RNA
Rfam family: Bacterial small subunit ribosomal RNA
Source: RNAcentral